UUUGUUUCGGUGGAUUCUUCAUACAGACUUCUUGUAGUCAACAUGGGAAGUAGGAGGGUUCUCCCAAUUGAUCCAUGUAUCGACGCCUAUGGUGGACCAUACAGCUUUCAUAGCACUGAAACGAGGAAAGAAAUCACAAUGUUGAAGCAAGAGUCCAACAAUGUGUUGCAGCUGAGGAUCCCUGGUUGGAAUACCAACCUCAUGGACUGGUCAAUAUGCGGGAAAUCUUCUACCGGCAGGCGCAAAGACUCCGCUUUCCUUGUCCUACAGGAGAUGGCCCACUAGAAUGGUACUACUCAUUCUGGUAGGAUGACCACUCACGAUUCAAUACAGCUCAGAAAGAACGUGAUGGUUCAGAUGCUGACGAUCAAAAACAAUGAAGCAGCUGGAAACAUACCGGCUGAAAUUAUAGCGGCCUUGAGUGUUUUAGACGACUGAAUAUGGUCCGAUGCACA
Triticum aestivum (bread wheat) is the source of this 455-nucleotide long non-coding RNA. RefSeq lists it as uncharacterized. Lineage: Eukaryota; Viridiplantae; Streptophyta; Magnoliopsida; Poales; Poaceae. The transcript has 3 exons. The record is from RefSeq and is a predicted model, not a curated record.